GCCGGGCAUGGUGGCGCAUGCCUGUAAUCCCAGCUACUCUGGAGGCUGAGGCAGGGGAAUCACUUGAACCCAGGAGGUGGAGUUGAGGUGAGCCGAGAUGGUGCCAUUGCACUCCAGCCUGGGUGACAGAGUGCAACUCCGUCUCAA
Molecule: non-coding RNA, 147 nt
Filed under: Pan troglodytes (chimpanzee)
Lineage: Eukaryota; Metazoa; Chordata; Mammalia; Primates; Hominidae
Source: Rfam by way of RNAcentral